Molecule: ribosomal RNA, 440 nt
Filed under: uncultured bacterium
Lineage: Bacteria
Description: partial 16S ribosomal RNA
Rfam family: Bacterial small subunit ribosomal RNA
Source: RNAcentral
CCUACGGGGGGCAGCAGUGGGGGAUAUUGCACAAUGGGGGAAACCCUGAUGCAGCGAUGCCGCGUGAAUGAUGACGGCCUUCGGGUUGUAAACUUCUGUCGCAGGGGACGAUAAUGACGGUACCUUGCAAGAAAGCUCCGGCUAACUCCGUGCCAGCAGCCGCGGUAAUACGGAGGGUGCAAGCGUUAGUCGGAAUUACUGGGGGUAAAGGGCGCGUAGGCGGGAUGGCAAGUCUGAUGUGAAAUCCUAUGGGUUAACCACAGAGCUGCGUUCAAAACUGUUAUUCUUGAGUAAAGGAGAGGCAGGUGGAAUUCCUGGUGUAGCGGUGAAAUGCGUAGAUAUUAGGAGGAACCCCAGUGGCGAAGGCGGCCUGCUGAGCUGUUACUGACACUGAUGCUCGAAAGUGUGGGUAGCAAACAGGAUUAGAUACCCGUGUAGUC